This 475-nucleotide ribosomal RNA is filed under the name uncultured bacterium. RNAcentral's name for it is "bacterial SSU rRNA". It matches the Rfam family "Bacterial small subunit ribosomal RNA", at positions 29 to 492 of the family's 1533-position model. The record is from RNAcentral.
AUUGAACGCUGGCGGAAUGCUUUACACAUGCAAGUCGAGCGGCAGCGCGGGGCAACCUGGCGGCGAGCGGCGAACGGGUGAGUAAUACAUCGGAACGUACCCAGUUGUGGGGGAUAGCCCGGCGAAAGCCGGAUUAAUACCGCAUACGACCUGAGGGUGAAAGGGGGGGAUCGCAAGACCUCUCGCAGUUGGAGCGGCCGAUGGCGGAUUAGCUAGUUGGUAGGGUAAAGGCCUACCAAGGCGACGAUCCGUAGCUGGUCUGAGAGGACGACCAGCCACACUGGAACUGAGACACGGUCCAGACUCCUACGGGAGGCAGCAGUGGGGAAUUUUGGACAAUGGGGGCAACCCUGAUCCAGCCAUUCCGCGUGAGUGAAGAAGGCCUCGGUUGUAAGACUCUUUCGGUCCGGGAACGGAAAGUACGCAUGGUGGAAUACCCUACGUGUGGAGUGACGGUACCGGAACGUAAGAAGAC